Callithrix jacchus (white-tufted-ear marmoset) is the source of this 1244-nucleotide non-coding RNA. The record is from RefSeq and is a predicted model, not a curated record. NCBI's taxonomy places the organism in Eukaryota, Metazoa, Chordata, Mammalia, Primates, Cebidae.
AUGAUAGUGCAUGUGUCAAAUGCACAUAGUUUUGGACUAGAUCCUGGACCUACGCCACAAGUUUGCGACCUCUCUAAGGCUAGUAAUUCUGUCAUUUUAGACAAGGAAAAAAAACAUCAAAAAGUGGGCAAAGGAUAUACCUCAUGCUGGGCAGCCCAUGCAGCUGCCGGAUGCCUCCUGGUACGCGAGUUUGAGGAGUGCCACAUCCCCGACACCGCCUUCUUGGACAUCGACCAGUGCAGCGACUGCACCUUGCCCUACGACCACAUGCUGCCCUGCACCGAGCACUUCACAAAGUAUGCGGGCCGCCUGGGCAUGGGCACAGCCACCCACGUCAUGAUCUACGACGCCAGUGACCAGGGCCUCUACUUCGCUCCGCGAGUCUGGUGGAUGUUCCAUGCCUUCAGCCACUGCGCCGUGUCACUGCUGGAUGGUGGCUUCUGCCACUGGCUGCGCCAGGACCUCCUGCUCAGCUCCAGUAAGAGCCACCCUGUGCCCACCACAUUCAUCACUCAGCUGGACCCCGCCUUCAUCAAGACCUAUGAAAACAUCAAGGAGAACUUGGAAUCCCAGCGCUUCCAGGUGGUGAACUGCUGAGCCGCCGGCAGGUUCUGCGGCACCGAGCCGGAGCCUCGAGAUGGCAUUGAACCUGGCCACAUCCCGGGGACUGUGAACAUCCCCUUUACAGACUUCCUGACCCAGGAGGGGCUGGAGAAGAGCCCUGAGGACAUCCGCCAUCUGUUCCCGGAGAAGAACGUGGACCUGGCCAAGCCACUAGUGGCCACAUGUGGAUCUGGCGUCACAGCCUGCCACGCAGUGCUAGGGGCCUACCUCUGCGGUAAGCCUGACGUGCCCAUCUAUGAUGGCUCCUGGGUAGAAUGGUACAUGCCUGCCCAGCCUGAGGAUGUCAUCUCAGAGGGCCGGGGGAAGACCCACUGAGGCUGGGCAGGACACAGGAAAGCUCGGAUGAUGCCAGCCUCCAGCAAUGCCUGGCCUGGUAGCUCUGGCUCUGCUUUAACCGAGAAAGUCUUUCUUCAUUCAACUCAAGUAGCUUUUGGGGUGACAUCCCAGAGGCCAGAAAUUCCAUUGACUUGUUGGCUGCCAGUGGGGGCUGGAGGAAAGGCGGGGGCAAGCACUGGAAGAGAGAGGCCGCAACUCCGAGCUGCCCAUGUGCUGCUGAGCUGGGGCCCCACCUCUUUUCUGUUUUAUUUUUGAGAAAAUAAAACAACCAAGUGCUAAAAAAA